CUUUGCAGCGAUUUUUGUGGUGAUAACUUAUUGUUAGUAUACAAACAGUUAGAGAGGGAAUUGGGUGAGAACCCCAAACAGUACCCGCUGCUGUAAGUUUUCACGUUGAUUAACUUUUUGUUAUCAACAAGCCGACAAGCAACCAUAGCCACUGAGUAUACAGAUGAUACGCUACUCGGGAAGGCAUCGAAAAGUCGGUCGAAUGUAGAGAAAACGAGUCAGAAAACCUGCCAUAUAAAAUCGCACCAA
This 249-nucleotide non-coding RNA is filed under the name Bacteroidetes oral taxon 274 str. F0058. The record is from RNAcentral. Lineage: Bacteria; Pseudomonadati; Bacteroidota. RNAcentral also lists the same sequence under 1 other name.